GCCUGGGUGGCUCAGUCAGUGGAGCGUCUGACCUCAACUCAGGUCAUGAUCUCCCAGUUUGUGGGUUCGAGCCCCAUGUCGGGCU
RNAcentral lists this transfer RNA (85 nucleotides) under Felis catus (domestic cat). It matches the Rfam family "tRNA". Rfam says of the family: Transfer RNA (tRNA) molecules are approximately 80 nucleotides in length. Their secondary structure includes four short double-helical elements and three loops (D, anti-codon, and T loops). Further hydrogen bonds mediate the characteristic L-shaped molecular structure. tRNAs have two regions of fundamental functional importance: the anti-codon, which is responsible for specific mRNA codon recognition, and the 3' end, to which the tRNAs corresponding amino acid is attached (by aminoacyl-tRNA synthetases). tRNAs cope with the degeneracy of the genetic code in two manners: having more than one tRNA (with a specific anti-codon) for a particular amino acid; and 'wobble' base-pairing, i.e. permitting non-standard base-pairing at the 3rd anti-codon position. Lineage: Eukaryota; Metazoa; Chordata; Mammalia; Carnivora; Felidae. The record is from Rfam by way of RNAcentral.